CUGCGGAGGGAUCAUUAUUAGAAGCCGAAAGGCUACUUAAAACCAUCGCGAACUCGUCCAAGUUGCUUCGGCGGCGCGGCCUCCCUCACGGGGGCGCCGCAGCCCCGCCUCUCCGGAGGUGUGGGGCGCCCGCCGGAGGUACGAAACUCUGUAUUAUAGUGGCAUCUCUGAGUAAAAAACAAAUAAGUUAAAACUUUCAACAACGGAUCUCUUGGUUCUGGCAUCGAUGAAGAACGCAGCGAAAUGCGAUAAGUAAUGUGAAUUGCAGAAUUCAGUGAAUCAUCGAAUCUUUGAACGCACAUUGCGCCCGCUAGUACUCUAGCGGGCAUGCCUGUUCGAGCGUCAUUUCAACCCUCAAGCCCUGCUUGGUGUUGGGGCCCUACGGCUGCCGUAGGCCCUGAAAGGAAGUGGCGGGCUCGCUACAACUCCGAGCGUAGUAAUUCAUUAUCUCGCUAGGGACGUUGCGGCGCGCUCCUGCCGUUAAAGACCAUCUUAACUCAAGGUGACCUCG
This 511-nucleotide ribosomal RNA is filed under the name fungal endophyte sp. ECD-2008. Its description in RNAcentral is "eukaryotic LSU rRNA". The stretch from base 192 to 345 matches the Rfam family "5.8S ribosomal RNA". Lineage: Eukaryota; Fungi. The record is from RNAcentral.